This 290-nucleotide long non-coding RNA is filed under the name Lathyrus oleraceus (garden pea). RNAcentral's name for it is "Pisum sativum (pea) long non-coding RNA (PSAT_LNC035338)". Lineage: Eukaryota; Viridiplantae; Streptophyta; Magnoliopsida; Fabales; Fabaceae. The record is from RNAcentral.
UCGAAUUUUUUUAUCAUUGUGUUCCUUAGGGUUUUUUUACUAUUAUUUUGUUAUUUUUUCUGGUUUUUCCUUUUGGGUUGGGUUGUUUGCAUGUUGUUUCUUUUGUUGAGGUGAGUUGUUUAACACUCCUAAUUCUAUCAAUUUCUACUUUAUUUUUAUAUAUUUUUUGUGACUUUCACAUAUUUAUUAAUAUACUAUUUAACCAUAAAAAAACAUUACUUUUUUUUAAGUAGACAUGUCUCUUUUCUUUUAAGAAAAGUUUGGUUGAAUCAGGCCUAAUCUCAUUCUAA